CCCUGCCCCAAGCAGAGGGAGGCCACGGCCCUGCUCUGCAGAGCCCGCGGGCGGCAGGGGAAGCGCGGGAAAGCGCUGAGUCACGUUCAGGCCAUAGGCAUAUGUCCCAGCAUACAAAUGUUCCGGGCCCAGGAAACAUUUGGAGGAAUUAUACACCUGGUUCCUCAGGACGAACACCGAUGAAUUCCAACGUCUGGAAUUAGGAAGCUACCAAACAAAUGAAUGCACUGUUGGGGGAGAGAGCUCAACCACCCUCCUUUCCCCUGGGAAGAGGAUCUCUGACUGCACUUGGAGAUUUCCUUCAAUCCCACCUUCCUGGCCACCCAUCAUAUCUGAGAUGGUCCUCCUGCCCCAGCAGAAGAGCUCCCCAAUCCCUCUCCAGGCUCUGGGUCCCAUUUCUUCCUCCUCUCGGAUGUGGUGGGUCCUGGGGUGGGGCCUUGGGAACACUAGGGCUUGGUAUCCCAAAAUAUUCUCACCCACCAGCACAUGCCUUGUUGUCUAUCCUCCCCUGCCUGGAUGCUGGACCCACAGAGGAACUGAGCAAAGCCACACGGCUAUUUACUUCCCCGAGGACCAGGGCCAGAGGCAGGGUGGGCAGGGAAGGAGUGGAGGAAGGAGUGACAUCAGGUUUUGCAGGAGCUGAGUCUUACGGGUAAAGCUGAACCCCCAGCCCCACAGGAACCUUGAUCCAGGAACGUCUGCCCUGAAGCUGUGGUUAGAGGCGGCUCUGGGCAAAGGCGUUAGAGGAGCUCAUCAACUGGCCACACGUUCUAUGUGACACGCUCUGUGCUGCAGCGUGCGGAGCACGCGAUAUCCGUGCCUGGACACAAA
Molecule: long non-coding RNA, 831 nt
Organism: Neogale vison (American mink)
Lineage: Eukaryota; Metazoa; Chordata; Mammalia; Carnivora; Mustelidae
Exons: 3
Source: RefSeq, a predicted model, not a curated record